UACAACACAUGCAUUUUUAUUUAACAUGCUACUAAGGAAAAAGCCUCUAGAAAAAUCAAACUUGAAGUCUACAGCCUACAUAGGCGCAGUAAUCUGAAACAGUAGACAAUAGUCCGUUUUCUUGAAAGUCUACAGACCAUUCUGCAAAGACCUAGUAAUCUAAGGAAAAAUAUUGAAUUCCGUUUACACUAAAAUAUAAACUAUGAGAAACUUCGUAUUCAUUUCCAUUUUGUUGCUGUCGGUCUCUUGUGCAGGGUUUGUACCAAAGUUUGAACCUGCAGACUAUUUCUAUGAUCAAAGAGACUUGUAUUAUAGAAGAAUGCCUCAUUUGUUCAACUUCAGAUACAGACCACGUGCAUCUCAGAAUACAAGUAGUUCGACAUUAACAAGACUUUACUAUGAUGGUUAAUAAUUAAAAUUAUUCUGAAUGUGAAUAAAAUGAAAAUGUUCUCAGUCUA
Molecule: long non-coding RNA, 458 nt
Organism: Mytilus californianus (California mussel)
Lineage: Eukaryota; Metazoa; Mollusca; Bivalvia; Mytilida; Mytilidae
Exons: 3
Source: RefSeq, a predicted model, not a curated record